Long non-coding RNA from Elgaria multicarinata webbii, 1138 nucleotides. RefSeq lists it as uncharacterized. The transcript is spliced from 2 exons. The record is from RefSeq and is a predicted model, not a curated record. NCBI's taxonomy places the organism in Eukaryota, Metazoa, Chordata, Lepidosauria, Squamata, Anguidae.
AAUGAAAAAUGCGGGUGAGAGGCCUCAGUAAAAUGGCUGCCGUUGUGGCAGUGAAAGGGCACCGUCCAAAUGGCUGCCACUUAUAAUGAACAAAAAAGGAAGAUGUCCACUGGCCAUCCCUAAAACAGGGUUUCCCCUCAUGCAAAGGGGACAGAAGUAAUCCAAAUGGUAAAAAGCAAAGCAAUGCAAAUUUAUACUAAGGUAUUCUUUAAUUCCCUGAGGCUAACCCCUUCCACCAACUGGAUGCAGUUGAGGUUUUGCACAAAAUGGCUGACACACUACAGCGACCUUGCCCAAUCUGGUGCCCUCCAGGUAUGUUGGACUAGCUCCCACCAUAGCCAUACUGGCUGGGGAUGGUGAGAGUUGUAGUUGGACACAUCUGUAGGGUGCCAGAUUGGAGAAAACUGCACGAUGGGAUCCCUCCCCUUCCCCAGCAGCAGGAAGACACACACUAAAGCCAUGAUUGCUUACAAGCCUUUCCCCCCCUUUUUCUUCCUUCCUCAGCUCUGGAGUCUUGUCACGUUACUCAGGUUCUGGACACAAUGGCUAUGUCGAUGUGGAUAUGGAGAUGGAUGGACGCAUGCCACACAACUCCGUGGCGUUAAGGAGGGAGAAACACAGGCUUAGCACUCGCAUCAAAUGAGAGUGAAGCCGAAAAUUGUCAAGACGGCUGCAGCUCGCCCCCAAAACAAGCGAGGGAGACAGCUGCGAUAGUCACUGCUCAUGCACUGUCACUGAUGUAUACAGGCUUGGAGUAGAAAAUUAACUCGCCAAGCCUGCCGUGUUUGCACGUAUUGUAAACUGCAAAGAUACAUUUGAAAUGCAAAGUGCCUUACAGUCUUGUCCUGGUGGGACAAACUCUCCCCCUAUUGAAAUUAGUGGCUCUUAUUGACACUGAAUUAGAAGUCUUUGCCCAUUUUUUGUUAGGGGAUCUGAAAAUAUGAGGAAUAGCAUUAGAAGAAUUAUUCUGGGCAGGAUGGAUUCGUAGCGAGAUUGCACCUGCCUAGGUUGGGAAAGGAAGGCACUAGAAAUGGGGCAGGUCUAGAGAAAGCAGGGUAUGAGACAAAUGAAAAGGCAACAUACUCGGCCCCUGCAGCUGAUGUACUUUUGCUAUGCUCAAUAAAGACGCUUAACUGUU